RNAcentral lists this small RNA (574 nucleotides) under Pongo abelii (Sumatran orangutan). RNAcentral's name for it is "retained intron". Lineage: Eukaryota; Metazoa; Chordata; Mammalia; Primates; Hominidae. The record is from RNAcentral.
GCAGACGCGGUACCUCUACUGCGUAGAGGCCGUAGCUGGCGGAAGGAGAGAGGCGGCCGUCCUGUCAACAGGCCUGGGGAAGCCGUGCUUUGGCGGCUGCCCGGCGCGACACUUUCUCCGGACCCAGCAUGUAGGUGCCGGGCGACUGCCAUGAACUCCGGAGCCAUGAGGAUCCACAGUAAAGGACAUUUCCAGGGUGGAAUCCAAGUCAAAAAUGAAAAAAACAGACCAUCUUUGAAAUCUCUGAAAACUGAUAACAGGCCAGAAAAAUCCAAAUGUAAGCCACUUUGGGGAAAGGUAUUUUACCUUGACUUACCUUCUGUCACCAUAUCUGAAAAACUUCAAAAGGACAUUAAGGAUCUGGGAGGGCGAGUUGAAGAAUUUCUCAGCAAAGAUAUCAGUUAUCUUAUUUCAAAUAAGAAGGAAGCUAAAUUUGCACAAACCUUGGGUCGAAUUUCUCCUGUACCAAGUACAGAAUCUGCGUAUACUGCAGAAACCACUUCACCUCAUCCCAGCCAUGAUGGAAGUUCAUUUAAGUCACCAGACACAGUAAGUCUCUUAAAUAUGCUUUGAG